AGCGAACGCUGGCGGCAGGCUUAACACAUGCCAGUCGAGCGGGCACUUUCGGGUGUCAGCGGCGGACGGGUGAGUAACGCGUGGGAACGUGCCCUCUGGUUCGGAAUAACUCAGGGAAACUUGAGCUAAUACCGGAUACGCCCUUUUGGGGAAAGGCUUGCUGCCGGAGGAUCGGCCCGCGUCUGAUUAGCUAGUUGGUGAGGUAACGGCCCACCAAGGCGACGAUCAGUAGCUGGUCUGAGAGGAUGAUCAGCCACACUGGGACUGAGACACGGCCCAGACUCCUACGGGAGGCAGCAGUGGGGAAUAUUGGACAAUGGGCGCAAGCCUGAUCCAGCCAUGCCGCGUGAGUGAUGAAGGCCUUAGGGUUGUAAAGCUCUUUUAUCCGGGACGAUAAUGACGGUACCGGAGGAAUAAGCCCCGGCUAACUUCGUG
RNAcentral lists this ribosomal RNA (435 nucleotides) under uncultured bacterium. RNAcentral's name for it is "partial 16S ribosomal RNA". It matches the Rfam family "Bacterial small subunit ribosomal RNA", at positions 29 to 507 of the family's 1533-position model. The record is from RNAcentral.